GAUGAACGCUGGCGGCGUGCCUAAUACAUGCAAGUCGAGCGAACAGACGAGGAGCUUGCUCCUCUGACGUUAGCGGCGGACGGGUGAGUAACACGUGGAUAACCUACCUAUAAGACUGGGAUAACUUCGGGAAACCGGAGCUAAUACCGGAUAAUAUAUUGAACCGCAUGGUUCAAUAGUGAAAGACGGUUUUGCUGUCACUUAUAGAUGGAUCCGCGCCGCAUUAGCUAGUUGGUAAGGUAACGGCUUACCAAGGCAACGAUGCGUAGCCGACCUGAGAGAGGGAUCGGCAACACAGGAGCUGAGACACGGUCCAGACUCCUACGGGAGGGCGCAGUAGGGAAUCUUCCGCAAUGGGCGCAAGCCUGACGGAGCAACGCCGCGUGAGUGGUGAAGGUCUUCGGAGCGUAAAACUCUGUUAUUAGGUAAGAACAAAUGUGUAAGUAACUAUGCACGUCUUGACGGUACCUAGUCAGAAGGCCACGGCUAACUACGUG
This 497-nucleotide ribosomal RNA is filed under the name uncultured bacterium. RNAcentral's name for it is "partial 16S ribosomal RNA". It matches the Rfam family "Bacterial small subunit ribosomal RNA", at positions 28 to 507 of the family's 1533-position model. The record is from RNAcentral.